This is a non-coding RNA of Pelobates cultripes (western spadefoot toad), 669 nucleotides long. Lineage: Eukaryota; Metazoa; Chordata; Amphibia; Anura; Pelobatidae. The record is from the annotation of a GenBank genome assembly.
UGUGUCUUUGUCCCCUAAAGCUCAUCUGUUUGUUUCUUUGUCCCCCAGUCCCCGUCACUUCUGUUACUUUGCCCCACAAAACCUUGUUAUGUGUUAUUUUGCCCCCUCCCCCCCCCCGUGUAUCUCUUUGACCUCCUCCUAUGUGUCUUUUUGUUCCCCUGUGUCUCUUUGCCUCCCCUCCCCCCCUUUUGCUGUCUUAUUUCUACAGUGCCAGCUUAUCUGCUUGUAGCGUGGUCAAGUGGACUGUGAUGGAGAAUCUUCUGUAUCCUCUACUCUGUCUGGGGACAUUUCCUUUCAGACUGGGUAGAGGAUAAAGAAGAUUCUCUACUGCAGAGCACUUGGCCACACUAAAUGUAGUGACUGGCAGGAGUGAAUUGCGCCCCCAGAGCCAGUGCACCCUAAGCAUCUGCCUCGUUCGUCGAUCAGUAGUGCCAAUCCUACACUGAGACACACUGGCUGUGCGUGGGCGGGAGAGAUACACACUUGCUCUGAUUGGACGGGAGAGACAGUGGCGUACAUACCAGGGUCGCAGGGGUCGCGGCUGCGACCGGGCCCGGCCCACCAGGGGGCCCGGCCGCCCCUGCGACCCGGUAUGUACGCCCAGGGCCAGCCUCUUCCCCUGGGGGGCCCAGGAGCCGACCACCCCAGGGCCCCCCGAGGCUGGCCCUG